This 465-nucleotide ribosomal RNA is filed under the name uncultured Klebsiella sp. RNAcentral's name for it is "bacterial SSU rRNA". It matches the Rfam family "Bacterial small subunit ribosomal RNA", at positions 338 to 795 of the family's 1533-position model. Lineage: Bacteria; Pseudomonadati; Pseudomonadota; Gammaproteobacteria; Enterobacterales; Enterobacteriaceae. The record is from RNAcentral.
CCUACGGGCGGCUGCAGUGGGGAAUAUUGCACAAUGGGCGCAAGCCUGAUGCAGCCAUGCCGCGUGUGUGAAGAAGGCCUUCGGGUUGUAAAGCACUUUCAGCGGGGAGGAAGGCGUUAAGGUUAAUAACUUUGUCGAUUGACGUUACCCGCAGAAGAAGCACCGGCUAACUCCGUGCCAGCAGCCGCGGUAAUACGGAGGGUGCAAGCGUUAAUCGGAAUUACUGGGCGUAAAGCGCACGCAGGCGGUCUGUCAAGUCGGAUGUGAAAUCCCCGGGCUCAACCUGGGAACUGCAUUCGAAACUGGCAGGCUAGAGUCUUGUAGAGGGGGGUAGAAUUCCAGGUGUAGCGGUGAAAUGCGUAGAGAUCUGGAGGAAUACCGGUGGCGAAGGCGGCCCCCUGGACAAAGACUGACGCUCAGGUGCGAAAGCGUGGGGAGCAAACAGGAUUAGAUACCCGGGUAGUC